This is a long non-coding RNA of Lineus longissimus, 309 nucleotides long. RefSeq lists it as uncharacterized. The transcript is spliced from 3 exons. The record is from RefSeq and is a predicted model, not a curated record. NCBI's taxonomy places the organism in Eukaryota, Metazoa, Nemertea, Pilidiophora, Heteronemertea, Lineidae.
GGCAAAACUGGAGAAAUAUUCAUAGCUGUCUCUAUUAACAGUGGAGUUCUGAUUGGUUCUCGCCAUCUUGCGGAGGGAUCGGGUACCAAUCUAAUGUUUCACUGACUGCCAGCCUUUGUUUGCGAGCAGCCAUUACUACUGCGGCAUCGAGUUUUUGUCUUGUCAAAACUGGUUCAACAAUAUCAUCUGUACUACAGUCCAUUUCAUCCAGUGAGUUUAUCCUCUUUCAAAUUGAUUAUUUUCAUCAGCAUCAAGUGCAAUCAUGCCAAGGAAGAGUGUUAAACUUUCGACAACUGCAGAGUCACACAG